UCACCAAUACAAAAAUGUUGACAUCACUCUCUCUAUAAAUACCAAAUCCAACCUACAAAUUGUUCUAAGAAACAUAGAUAUUCAUAAGCUUUUUCUCUUCCAUUCUCUCUCUUGGAUCGUUUCCAUGGCUGGGCUGCAACAAUACAACUUCUUCCCCACUGAUCUCUUGUACCCUCGUCCACAACCACAACAAGCUUCUCCUAAACCCACUGUUCUUCCUCUCCAGAACCCUAAUUCUCAGGAUCACACUCACCAACAACAACAACAACCUAGGACCAAUCUUACCCCUUCUUCUUCUUCUGCUCUUGUUUACACUCAAAACAACCAAUCUCUUGUUGCUGUUCACAACAACGUCUCCAAAUUCGCCUCAGACCCUCUUUCUUGGCUGCUUUGGAUGACUGAAGAAGAUCAACAACAAAAUGCCUCAGACUCUUCUUGAAUUCUUCUACAAUUCACUCAAUUCCACUCAUUGAUGUAUCGCACCAUAUCAUUCCACUCAUUGAUGUAUCUUAUUUCAGUGAGAUCAACCGAUGAAUCAUGCUGCAUCUUUUUCCACUCAGUUUAAGGAAAAGAGGAAGGAAACUGAAUAAUAAUCUUUUCAUGUCUUUGUUAGUAAACUGUAAAAUCAUCAUUGAUGGACUAAUCCCUCUUUUCUGUAAUGCUUUUAGCUUUUACCCUUUGAUCAAUUCUAUGUUCCAGAGAAUAUUUGAGUCGGUUUACACAUAUAGAAGUUUAUCAAGCUUAUGAAAAUCAAUAAAAGUUUAUCAAGCUUCUUUUAUAUAUGUCAACACUCCUUUACCGAAUUCGAGGAAUUUAUUAUAGAAUUGGAGGACUCGAUUAUAUAUGCUGCAUUACAAUUACAUGUUUGUUUUCUUAGACCAAAGGAAAAGGAAACAUGAAUCUAGAAAAUUGGCGAUGAAUGUGUCAAAGUUUGUUAGUCAACAUGCUACAUAUGUGGAAUUAAGUUUAAUAGUGUAACAGUCAAUGUUGGUUUUCUUUGGCCAUCUCUUCUGAAAAUGUGCAUCAAAUCAAAUCAUAUGUUCAAAUUCAACAUUUGCAACCUUUAGAAGAGGAAAAAAAAUAAAACAAAAAAUUAAAGAUGUGAGAACAUGCCGAAACUCACGGGGCGUACAAUAGACGCAGACGGUUACUUCCGGAACAUCAUGCGAAUAUGCCACGAAUAUGCCGC
RNAcentral lists this long non-coding RNA (1189 nucleotides) under Vigna radiata. RNAcentral describes it as "long non-coding RNA (VRAD_LNC012241)". Lineage: Eukaryota; Viridiplantae; Streptophyta; Magnoliopsida; Fabales; Fabaceae. The record is from RNAcentral.